RNAcentral lists this ribosomal RNA (495 nucleotides) under uncultured bacterium. RNAcentral describes it as "partial 16S ribosomal RNA". It matches the Rfam family "Bacterial small subunit ribosomal RNA", at positions 28 to 507 of the family's 1533-position model. The record is from RNAcentral.
GACGAACGCUGGCGGCGUGCCUAAUACAUGCAAGUAGAACGCUGAAGGAGGAGCUUGCUUCUCUGGAUGAGUUGCGAACGGGUGAGUAACGCGUAGGUAACCUGCCUGGUAGCGGGGGAUAACUAUUGGAAACGAUAGCUAAUACCGCAUAAGAGUAGAUGUUGCAUGACAUUUGCUUAAAAGGUGCAAUUGCAUCACUACCAGAUGGACCUGCGUUGUAUUAGCUAGUUGGUGAGGUAACGGCUCACCAAGGCGACGAUACAUAGCCGACCUGAGAGGGUGAUCGGCCACACUGGGAGUGAGACACGGCCCAGACUCCUACGGGAGGCAGCAGUAGGGAAUCUUCGGCAAUGGACGGAAGACAGACCGAGCAACGCCGCGUGAGUGAAGAAGGUUGUCGGAUCGUAAAGCUCGGUUGUAAGAGAAGAACGAGUGUGAGAGUGGAAAGUUCACACUGUGACGGUAUCUUACCAGAAAGGGACGGCUAACUACGUG